This 253-nucleotide ribosomal RNA is filed under the name uncultured bacterium. RNAcentral's name for it is "partial 16S ribosomal RNA". It matches the Rfam family "Bacterial small subunit ribosomal RNA", at positions 524 to 776 of the family's 1533-position model. The record is from RNAcentral.
UACGGAGGGGGCUAGCGUUGUUCGGAAUUACUGGGCGUAAAGCGUGCGUAGGCGGUUUCUUAAGUCUGCUGUGAAAGCCCUGGGCUCAACCUGGGAAUGGCGGUGGAUACUGAGAAGCUGGAGUACGGUAGAGGAAGGUGGAAUUCCCGGUGUAGCGGUGAAAUGCGUAGAGAUCGGGAGGAACAUCAGUGGCGAAGGCGGCCUUCUGGACCAGUACUGACGCUGAGGCACGAAAGCGUGGGGAGCAAACAGG